UACGUAGGGCGCAAGCGUUGUCCGGAAUUAUUGGGCGUAAAGAGCUCGUAGGCGGCCUGUUGCGUCCGCUGUGAAAUCCCGGGGCUCAACCCCGGGCGUGCAGUGGAUACGGGCUGGCUGGAGGCAGGCAGGGGAGAACGGAAUUCCUGGUGUAGCGGUGGAAUGCGCAGAUAUCAGGAGGAACACCGGUGGCGAAGGCGGGUCUCUGGGCCGAUACUGACACUGAGAAGCGAAAGCGUGGGGAGCGAACAGG
This 253-nucleotide ribosomal RNA is filed under the name uncultured bacterium. RNAcentral describes it as "partial 16S ribosomal RNA". It matches the Rfam family "Bacterial small subunit ribosomal RNA", at positions 524 to 776 of the family's 1533-position model. The record is from RNAcentral.